Molecule: ribosomal RNA, 253 nt
Filed under: uncultured bacterium
Lineage: Bacteria
Description: partial 16S ribosomal RNA
Rfam family: Bacterial small subunit ribosomal RNA
Source: RNAcentral
UACGGGGGGGGCAAGCGUUGUUCGGAAUUACUGGGCGUAAAGGGCUCGUAGGCGGCCAACUAAGUCAGACGUGAAAUCCCUCGGCUUAACCGGGGAACUGCGUCUGAUACUGGAUGGCUUGAGUGUGGGAGAGGGAUGCGGAAUUCCAGGUGUAGCGGUGAAAUGCGUAGAUAUCUGGAGGAACACCGGUGGCGAAAGCGGCAUCCUGGACCGACACUGACGCUGAGGAGCGAAAGCCAGGGGAGCAAACGGG